AGCCUUCUGUAUUCGUGCUGAGAUUUCGUCACACACCAGACCACAAGGGCUGAU
Molecule: microRNA precursor, 54 nt
Filed under: Schistosoma curassoni
Lineage: Eukaryota; Metazoa; Platyhelminthes; Trematoda; Strigeidida; Schistosomatidae
Description: mir-3492 microRNA precursor family
Rfam family: mir-3492 microRNA precursor family
Source: Rfam by way of RNAcentral